This 485-nucleotide ribosomal RNA is filed under the name uncultured bacterium. Its description in RNAcentral is "partial 16S ribosomal RNA". It matches the Rfam family "Bacterial small subunit ribosomal RNA", at positions 30 to 507 of the family's 1533-position model. The record is from RNAcentral.
AUUGAACGCUGGCGGCAUGCCUUACACAUGCAAGUCGAACGGCAGCACGGGUGCUUGCACCUGGUGGCGAGUGGCGAACGGGUGAGUAAUACAUCGGAACGUACCUUAUCGUGGGGGAUAACGCAGCGAAAGUUGCGCUAAUACCGCAUACGCCCUGAGGGGGAAAGCGGGGGACCGUAAGGCCUCGCGCGAUUAGAGCGGCCGAUGUCUGAUUAGCUUGUUGGUGAGGUAAAAGCUCACCAAGGCGAUGAUCAGUAGCUGGUCUGAGAGGACGAUCAGCCACACUGGGACUGAGACACGGCCCAGCCUCUUACGGGAGGCAGCAGUGGGGAAUUUUGGACAAUGGGGGCAACCCUGAUCCAGCAAUGCCGCGGGAGUGAAGAAGGCCUUCGGGUUGUAAAGCUCUUUUGUCAGGGAAGAAACAGCAGCUCUAACACAGUCUGCGAAUGACGGUACCUGAAGAAUAAGCACCGGCUAACUACGUG